AUCAAAGAUUUUUAAAAACAGCUAGCCUAUACACUGCAUAAAGAAAAGAGAUAUCAGAUCAAAUUUAGAAGAUUAAAUGAUUAUGAAAAUUGAGUGUCCAAUGCUGCCAGUGUCCAUGCUUUUGAAAAAAGAAGUCAUGACUCAGAAUCCAUAGUGAGAAACAAGUCAUGAAUGAAGACUGAGAUGGAGUGUUUAUGUUUCUGUCCACUAAAACUUCUAUGGAAAAUGGUUGGGUGUCUGGCUCAUCCAAUGAUCAACCCAUUGGCCGACUACCAGAUUCCAACCUGAAGAAUACAUAGGAAGAGUAAAAGCUUUUUAGGCCCAAGUAGUUAAAGAUUCGGGGGCAUAUAGUUUUUGCCCUGUCCAUCCAUCUGUC
Molecule: long non-coding RNA, 376 nt
Organism: Saccostrea echinata
Lineage: Eukaryota; Metazoa; Mollusca; Bivalvia; Ostreida; Ostreidae
Exons: 3
Source: RefSeq, a predicted model, not a curated record